UACGGAGGGGGCUAGCGUUGUUCGGAAUUACUGGGCGUAAAGCGCACGUAGGCGGCUUUGCAAGUUAGAGGUGAAAGCCCAGGGCUCAACCCUGGAAUUGCCUUUAAAACUGCAUCGCUAGAAUUGUGGAGAGGUAAGUGGAAUUCCGAGUGUAGAGGUGAAAUUCGUAGAUAUUCGGAAGAACACCAGUGGCGAAGGCGACUUACUGGACACAUAUUGACGCUGAGGUGCGAAAGCGUGGGAGC
Molecule: ribosomal RNA, 245 nt
Filed under: uncultured bacterium
Lineage: Bacteria
Description: partial 16S ribosomal RNA
Rfam family: Bacterial small subunit ribosomal RNA
Source: RNAcentral